GGGUUGUGAGGUUAAGCGACUAAGCGUACACGGUGGAUGCCCUGGCAGUCAGAGGCGAUGAAGGACGUGCUAAUCUGCGAUAAGCGUCGGUAAGGUGAUAUGAACCGUUAUAACCGGCGAUUUCCGAAUGGGGAAACCCAGUGUGAUUCGUCACACUAUCAUUAACUGAAUCCAUAGGUUAAUGAGGCGAACCGGGGGAACUGAAACAUCUAAGUACCCCGAGGAAAAGAAAUCAACCGAGAUUCCCCCAGUAGCGGCGAGCGAACGGCGAGCAGCCCAGAGCCUGAAUCAGUGUGUGUGUUAGUGGAAGCGUCUGGAAAGGCGCGCGAUACAGGGUGACAGCCCCGUACAAAAAAAUGCACAUGCUGUGAGCUCGAUGAGUAGGGCGGGACACGUGGUAUCCUGUCUGAAUAUGGGGGGACCAUCCUCCAAGGCUAAAUACUCCUGACUGACCGAUAGUGAACCAGUACCGUGAGGGAAAGGCGAAAAGAACCCCGGCGAGGGGAGUGAAAAAAGAACCUGAAACCGUGUACGUACAAGCAGUGGGAGCACGCUUAGGCGUGUGACUGCGUACCUUUUGUAUAAUGGGUCAGCGACUUAUAUUCUGUAGCAAGGUUAACCGAAUAGGGGAGCCGAAGGGAAACCGAGUCUUAACUGGGCGUUAAGUUGCAGGGUAUAGACCCGAAACCCGGUGAUUCAGCCAUGGGCAGGUUGAAGGUUGGGUAACACUAACUGGAGGACCGAACCGACUAAUGUUGAAAAAUUAGCGGAUGACUUGUGGCUGGGGGUGAAAGGCCAAUCAAACCGGGAGAUAGCUGGUUCUCCCCGAAAGCUAUUUAGGUAGCGCCUCGUGAAUUCAUCUCGGGGGGGUAGAGCACUGUUUCGGCAAGGGGGUCAUCCCGACUUACCAACCCGAUGCAAACUGCGAAUACCGGAGAAUGUUAUCACGGGAGACACACGGCGGGUGCUAACGUCCGUCGUGAAGAGGGAAACAACCCAGACCGCCAGCUAAGGUCCCAAAGUCAUGGUUAAGUGGGAAACGAUGUGGGAAGGCCCAGACAGCCAGGAUGUUGGCUUAGAAGCAGCCAUCAUUUAAAGAAAGCGUAAUAGCUCACUGGUCGAGUCGGCCUGCGCGGAAGAUGUAACGGGGCUAAACCAUGCACCGAAGCUGCGGCAGCGACGCUUAUGCGUUGUUGGGUAGGGGAGCGUUCUGUAAGCCUGUGAAGGUGUGCUGUGAGGCAUGCUGGAGGUAUCAGAAGUGCGAAUGCUGACAUAAGUAACGAUAAAGCGGGUGAAAAGCCCGCUCGCCGGAAGACCAAGGGUUCCUGUCCAACGUUAAUCGGGGCAGGGUGAGUCGACCCCUAAGGCGAGGCCGAAAGGCGUAGUCGAUGGGAAACAGGUUAAUAUUCCUGUACUUGGUGUUACUGCGAAGGGGGGACGGAGAAGGCUAUGUUGGCCGGGCGACGGUUGUCCCGGUUUAAGCGUGUAGGCUGGUUUUCCAGGCAAAUCCGGAAAAUCAAGGCUGAGGCGUGAUGACGAGGCACUACGGUGCUGAAGCAACAAAUGCCCUGCUUCCAGGAAAAGCCUCUAAGCAUCAGGUAACAUCAAAUCGUACCCCAAACCGACACAGGUGGUCAGGUAGAGAAUACCAAGGCGCUUGAGAGAACUCGGGUGAAGGAACUAGGCAAAAUGGUGCCGUAACUUCGGGAGAAGGCACGCUGAUAUGUAGGUGAAGUCCCUCGCGGAUGGAGCUGAAAUCAGUCGAAGAUACCAGCUGGCUGCAACUGUUUAUUAAAAACACAGCACUGUGCAAACACGAAAGUGGACGUAUACGGUGUGACGCCUGCCCGGUGCCGGAAGGUUAAUUGAUGGGGUCAGCGCAAGCGAAGCUCUUGAUCGAAGCCCCGGUAAACGGCGGCCGUAACUAUAACGGUCCUAAGGUAGCGAAAUUCCUUGUCGGGUAAGUUCCGACCUGCACGAAUGGCGUAAUGAUGGCAGGCUGUCUCCACCCGAGACUCAGUGAAAUUGAACUCGCUGUGAAGAUGCAGUGUACCCGCGGCAAGACGGAAAGACCCCGUGAACCUUUACUAUAGCUUGACACUGAACAUUGAGCCUUGAUGUGUAGGAUAGGUGGGAGGCUUAGAAGUGUGGACGCCAGUCUGCAUGGAGCCGACCUUGAAAUACCACCCUUUAAUGUUUGAUGUUCUAACGUUGACCCGUAAUCCGGGUUGCGGACAGUGUCUGGUGGGUAGUUUGACUGGGGCGGUCUCCUCCUAAAGAGUAGUAACGGAGGAGCACGAAGGUUGGCUAAAUCCGGUCGGACAUCAGGAGGUUAGUGCAAUGGCAUAAGCCAGCUUGACUGCGAGCGUGACGGCGCGAGCAGGUGCGAAAGCAGGUCAUAGUGAUCCGGUGGUUCUGAAUGGAAGGGCCAUCGCUCAACGGAUAAAAGGUACUCCGGGGAUAACAGGCUGAUACCGCCCAAGAGUUCAUAUCGACGGCGGUGUUUGGCACCUCGAUGUCGGCUCAUCACAUCCUGGGGCUGAAGUAGGUCCCAAGGGUAUGGCUGUUCGCCAUUUAAAGUGGUACGCGAGCUGGGUUUAGAACGUCGUGAGACAGUUCGGUCCCUAUCUGCCGUGGGCGCUGGAGAACUGAGGGGGGCUGCUCCUAGUACGAGAGGACCGGAGUGGACGCAUCACUGGUGUUCGGGUUGUCAUGCCAAUGGCACUGCCCGGUAGCUAAAUGCGGAAGAGAUAAGUGCUGAAAGCAUCUAAGCACGAAGCUUGCCCCGAGAUGAGUUCUCCCUGACUCCUUGAGAGUCCUGAAGGAACGUUGAAGACGACGACGUUGAUAGGCCGGGUGUGUAAGCGCAGCGAUGCGUUGAGCUAACCGGUACUAAUGAACCGUGAGGCUUAACCUUACAACGCCGAAGCUGUU
Molecule: ribosomal RNA, 2934 nt
Filed under: Escherichia coli
Lineage: Bacteria; Pseudomonadati; Pseudomonadota; Gammaproteobacteria; Enterobacterales; Enterobacteriaceae
Description: bacterial LSU rRNA
Rfam family: Bacterial large subunit ribosomal RNA
Source: RNAcentral